GUCCUGAAUGGUAUUGAGGACAAACCCUCUCGCAAGAGAGAGCCGGGAAAGAAGGUCACAUCUCGGCAAACAGAGUA
This 77-nucleotide non-coding RNA is filed under the name Segatella baroniae B14. RNAcentral's name for it is "engA RNA". It matches the Rfam family "engA RNA", at positions 1 to 75 of the family's 101-position model. Lineage: Bacteria; Pseudomonadati; Bacteroidota; Bacteroidia; Bacteroidales; Prevotellaceae. The record is from RNAcentral.